RNAcentral lists this transfer RNA (22 nucleotides) under Scurrula chingii. RNAcentral describes it as "partial tRNA-Leu". Lineage: Eukaryota; Viridiplantae; Streptophyta; Magnoliopsida; Santalales; Loranthaceae. RNAcentral also lists the same sequence under 3 other names. The record is from RNAcentral.
AAAAUCCGUCGACUUUGUAAAU